AAGCUCUGGAGCCACAAUGGCCUCCCUUCAUGAUGAUGGAGCGGGGGGAGCAAAGUGCCUACAGUAAAAGAAAGAGGGUGCAGCGAGGAGGUCGGUCUCCUCGUGUCGUCGUUCUUUCCAGUACUUUCAACUUCAAACACAAGCAGUGCAGAGGAUGCAGGGACGAUGCAGCGAUGGCCACGGACAGCCCACUGGAGUCGUGUCGCUGUCAUGUGAGUAAUGUGGGUGCAAUAUCUGAGACGUUUUCAGGAGGGGAUCGCUACAGGAUUCAUCCUUCAGGGACAUUGACUGUUUGUAAAAUAAUUUCAAGGCAAUCCAUCGAAUUGUUGCUGAGACUUUUCAGUCUGGACCAAAAAUGUUGAACCGUCCGACGUUGCCCUCCCUGGAGCUAAAAACAGACGACGGAGCAGAAGAUAGUGAGAGCAGACGCAGAUAAAAGUGAGAGAUUAAGGCCCACGCCAAACACUGAGCCAAAAUAAAGUGCAGUUCAAGCCGCCUUCACUACAAGGGCUGCAGGUAAACGAACUGAUCUCAUAUGGAGGCCAAUCAAAGGCAAGCAUCCUCUUGGCAAACGCUAUCACUUUGGCACGGCAUCACUUACGCCUAGGAAAAAAAACAACAAAAAAAAAAAACACUUGAAGCUGCAAAUUCAGUGGGCUAACUGCAUUAGCUGUGUACUGUGCUUGAUGGAUGGAGGAGCAUGAGGUUUCUCUGUUUGGGGGAGGAGACAUAUGGUGAUUCGUCUGCAGUGGAGGGAAUUAAAAGUCUGCCUGUGUGGCUAAUAGACAUGAAGAGGCAACAUGUGCCUGGCUGCAUGACAGCACCACCUCAUUUCUUAGUCUGGUGUUGCUGUGCAGCUCCUGGCAGCUGAUGAUGCGUUCAAGCGCACUGGGGUUCACUGGAUGCUGUGGAGAAAUUUAGCCUAACAACUGGAAUGAUUAAAUGAUGUAAUAAAAAAAACUUUUGUAAUAGAAAAUAAUUGCCUCUCAUUAGUUGAUGGUAUUGAACCGGUGUCCACCUGCGUGCACAUACAAUUCCCUCCACAAUAAUAGAAAAACACACACAGAAACUCCAUCAUUCUGAUGUAAUGAAGACUCACCUCUGUGGAUUUACUGCAGCUGUAAAAAGCUAACAACUCCAAUGAAUUAAACUUAGGGGCUGUAUAACAGAGUUCUGUGUAGCAAGCUAUUUCUCGAAAUCUCAUUAAACCACCAAGCAUCAAUUAUGGUCCCGGUGUGAGUUAGUGUAUGUACAGGAGGGAACGUACAGGAGUGCAUUUAGAUGUUAUGCAGCCCUAAUCUAGUUACUUGGGCGUUCGAUAAAUCUAUUACAGGAAGAAGGCUGAACAUACAACAUACAUUUUUACUAUAAUAAUAAUUAUCAUUUUGUAUUUUGCACGUGUUUUGUAUUCCCCUAUUUAUUUAUUUCCCCUAUAUACAAUAAAUAAUUGAUCGCAAAAAAAGAAAUGACCAGAUGCUAAGCAAUCUUCUUAGCAGAGAAAAGACGUCGAGCAGAUGUAAAGUGACAAAAAAACUGAAUUAAAUCCGACAGAGAUAGACGUCUUCCAUUAAAGUCAAUAAAAAUGUGAGAGUCUUGAAAGACAGAUAUGAUCUGUAAGGUGAGGGUCACACGUAUGAGGGGAGCUGACUUACCACUGCUCCAUCUCAUAUUUGAUAAUACAUAACCAUAUAUGUAGUUUGUUUGUAUCCUGCUUAAUAACAUGACCAUGUAUCCUGCUUUACUGUCCUAACCAUAUAUGUAGUUUGUUUUGUGAUGAGUUGUUUAACAGGACGCAGCUGUUGGAGGAGAUCACAGGCGGACACGCUCGCUGCACAGAACAGACUGAAAUCAGUCUGUUCUACUUCUAUACCAUGAAAUAAGCAUUUGUACCAUGUAUCACAAUCACCCCCCAAAUUAUAAAUCACCCAUUAUAUUCACUGAUUAUAUUCACUCAUUAUAUUAUGUUACCCUUUAUAUUACCUUUGACACCCUUUAUGUUACACUUUGUAUGACCUUCAGUUCUUUAAGAUAAACAAUGUCUUGCUACUGGAAGAAUGUUUGGAAUGCUUUGUGUGAUAAUAAAAAGAGAGGAGACGGUGGAGUUUGGUCAGAGCGGGUUGGAGAUUGUAACUGAGCAAAUCUCUGUCCGUUCUCCUCGCGAGUAAGAAAUAACGCCCUUGUCUUUCUCUUCUGUGUGUCAGUAUUAAAUGUCUUAGGUGGUGUAAACC
Molecule: long non-coding RNA, 2228 nt
Organism: Seriola aureovittata
Lineage: Eukaryota; Metazoa; Chordata; Actinopteri; Carangiformes; Carangidae
Exons: 3
Source: RefSeq, a predicted model, not a curated record